AUUGUAUGAAUGGCCGAAUACCUUGGCCUUGAGUUUUGUAUAUUAUAUAUAGACUUUACAAGGAUGCUAUACAUGGAAAGCAAAUAAAAGCAAAUAAAUUCCCGCAUGAUUCUAGCCCUAUACAUGUAAACUAUAAUCUGUCAAAUAAUAUAUGCUAACUGUACAGAAUAAUAAAUGGAGAAAUAAGGAAACAAUUGUGGGCUAAAAUAAGGAAACAAUUGUGGGCUAAAAUAAGGAAAGAAGAAGUGUGGACAGCAAGUUGUCAUGGAGAAAUAAGGAAACAAUUGUGGGCUAAAAUAAGGAAAGAAGAAGUGUGAACAGCAAGUUGUCCUUUGACAGCCCCCCUCAAAUUGAUGCAGGUUAAUCAACAAGCAUGAAUUUGCUACUUAGCAAGCAAUGUCGAUGACGAGGGAGAGCCUUGGUGAAGAUAUCAGCAACUUGUAAGUCAGUGGAAAUAUGUGGAAGAGUGAUAACACGAGCUUCAAAGGCUUCACGGAUAGAGUGAUAGUCCACUUCAAUAUGCUUUGUGUGCUCAUGAUAGACAGGAUUGGCUGUGAUCUGAAUAGCACUUGUAUUAUCGGUAUGUAGAGGUGUAGGAUCGGUCUCAGAAAAAUCUAACUCCGCAAGCAAACCUCGAAGCUAAAUGAUUUCAGAACAAGCAAGAGACAUCUCCCGAUACUUAGAUUCCGUAGAUGACUUAGAGACUCUGUCUUGCUUCUUACUUUUCCAAGAUAUCAAUGCAUCACCUAAAAACACACACCAACCAGUGAUGGAGUGACGAGUAUCCGCACAACCAGCCCAAUCAGCAUCACUAUAAGCAGCAAGGCGAGUAGAAUUGCCUGCAGGGAAGAACAAGCCACGAGUAGAAGUGCCUUGAACAUAGCGUAUGAUCCUACGGACAACAUCCAAAUGAAGAUGACGAGGAGUCUGAAGGAACUGGCUGACUUGCUGUACAGCAAAAGAAAUGUCCGGUCUAGUAAUGGUGAGAUAAACAAGACUACCCACCAACUUCCUGUAUAAACUGGGAUCAGCAAGUAAGUCGCCUUCCUCUUUACGAAGCUUGACAUUUAAUUCCAUGGGAGUAUCAACAGAAGUAGCCCCUUGUAGACCAGCUGUAGCCACCAAGUCACUCGCAUACCUAUGUUGAUUGAAGGAAAUACCAGAGGGACUAUGAUGCACCUCAAGACCAAGAAAAUAUGUGAGAGACUCAAGAUCUUUCAUAUGAAAGGGCUCGGAGAGAUGAGUUUUGAGCUGACCAAGUAAAGCAGAAUCGGAACCAGUGAUCACAAUAUCAUCAACAUAAACCAAAAGAACAACAAUACCCAUGUUUGAUUUCCGAAGAAACAAGGAAGUGUCAUACUUGCUCUGCUUGAAUGAAAAUUGUAAUAAAGUGGUGCGGAAUUUAUCAAACCAAGCCCUCGGAGCCUGUUUGAGACCAUAAAGAGAGCGACGAAGCUUACACACAUGUGAAGUCGGAGAGGGAAACAAUCCCGGGGGUGGCUUCAUAUAAAUACACUCUUUAAGAUCCUCAUGAAGAAAAACAUUUUUUACAUCCAUCUGAUGUAGUGGCCAAUCACUAGAAGCAGCAAGAGCUAGAAUCGUACGAACAGUAGUCAUUUUAGCCACAGGAGCAAAGGUCUCUUCAUAAUUGACACCAUAUUCCUGAUUAUUCCCAAGUGCAACAAGCCGAGCUUUGUAACGAUCCAAACUUCCAUCAGAUCGGACCUUGACUGAGUAAACCCAUUUGCAACCCAAAGGAACAAUAGUGGGAGGACAGGGCUCAAUGUCCCAAGUGUGAUUGGCCUCUAGAGCCGCAAUUUCUUCCUGCAUAGCUUGUCGCCAACAAUCAUGCUUGGCAGCAUGUGAGUAGCAUGUGGGAAUAUCAAAAUUGGACAAUGUAGCAGUAAGGGCUGAAAUAGAAUUUCCAGAACUGGAAGAGGGAAAUCCAUACCUAUUCGGAGGUACAGACACUCGAGAAGAACGACGUACUGAAGGUGCUGGAGGUACUGCAACUGACUGAAUCUGGAGCGUGGUAGGAUCAGAUAUCGGGUGAGCCAUCGAAAGAGACUAUGGGCGAGAGCGUCUCGUAUACACAAUACCUGGUUGAAAGCGAGAACUGAGUGGAUGAAGAUUUGAGAACUGCUGCUCAAAGGAGGGGAGGACCACAGUAGAAGAGGAUGACACAGUAGAAGAGGAUACAGGAAAGAAAUGUUGAUUUUCAAAGAAAAUAACAUUCCUAGAAAUACGUGUACGAUGUAAUGUAGGAUCAUAGCAAACAAAUCCCUUUUGACACAUAUUAUAUCCCAAGAAAGCACAUCGAACAGAUUGAGCUGAUAAUUUAUGUCGCUCAUGAGGAGGUAAAUGAACGAAACAUACACAACCAAAAAUACGAAGGUGAUCAUAACUAGGUUGCUUAGCAAAUAAGCGGAAAUAGGGAGACUCCAUUUGUAGGACUUGAGAAGGUAAACGAUUAAUCAAGUGAGUGGCAGUUUUUAGAGCCUCUACCCAAAACAUGGAUGGAACAGAAGAUUCUAACAAGAGAGUAUGUACCACAUCUAGAAGAUGAUGAUUUUUGCGUUCGGCAACUCCAUUUUGUUGAGGAGUAGAGGGACAUGAACGUUGAUGAAUAAUAUCCUUAGAAGCCAAGAAUGCUUGAAACUCAGUAGACAAAUACUCACCACCGGAAUCUGUGUGUAAUGUCUUAAUAGAAGUAGAAAAUUGAUUGUCAACAUACGCUAAAAACUCAGUGAAAGUACGAAAGACCUCAGAUUUAGAGCGAAGAAAGUAGACCCAAGUAAAUCUGCUAUGAUCAUCAAUGAAAGUCACAUAAUAUUUAAAUUUCUCAUGUGAACUAACCGAGGAAGGUCCCCAAACAUCAAUAUGGAUAAGAUCAAAGCAGUGAGAUGCUCUACUUGCAUGCAAAGGGAAGGUAAGAGUUUUACUUUUACCAAGUUUGCAAGAAUCACACUCAAGAGAUAAAGAAGAACGAUCCUUAUUAUCAGGUAAAUCAGAGUUCAAUACAUGAGAUAAGAUCUGAGUAUUGGGAUGGCCUAAACGACGAUGCCACACCAUACUAAGAUCUGAAACAUUAUUACAAGCAAAAGACUCAAUAGAAGAAAGUGGAGAAAAAUCUGGAACAGGUAAAAAUAGUGGAAACAAGCGCCCCACUUUAGGUCCCUUCGCGAUCGGCUUCCUCGUUACCUGGUCCUGCACAACACAGCCAUUACUAAAAAAAUUAACAGCACAAUUGUUAUCAACUAAUUGGCCAACAGAAAUAAGAUUCGUGGAAAGCUGAGGAGCAAGAAACACAUCAGUGAACUUAGAAGAGGCAUCGCCGAUAGCAGCUAUGGGCAAAGAGCUGCCAUUGGCAGUCUGAAUGGAAGAUUGACCAGCGUAGGGCCGAACAUGACACAAAGCGGUGGGAUUAUUAGUCAUGUGAUUAGAGGCCCCCGAGUCCACAUACCAGAGUUUAGUGGAAUUGUUACCUUGAAACCCCAUUGCUAAUAAUGCAGAAAUUAACAUCUGUUGCACCAUUUCUGGAGUGCAGUAAUUUGGUGCAGGAGGUGCAGGAACAGAGCACGCAGCUGAAGGAGAGUCGUGUGCUGCAGAAGUUGCUACAGGAGGGACAAUAACCGAAGUUUGAAAUGCUUGGGUCUGACGAUUCUGGGGGCGAAUAUGAUAUUCUUUGAUAAUGUGACCCUUCUUCUUGCAAUAAGAACAAAAAUUCUUAGGGCAAGUGGCAGCAAUAUGCUCAUAUUCCUUGCAGCAGAAACAUUGCAAGUUUUUAGAAUGCACAGGUGGUCCGCGUCCUUGGGCAGCAUAAGCUACAGUUGCCGUCUCGGAAUUGCCAUGAGAUUGCUCCAGAAUAGCUUGAGUACUAAGGCGUUAUUCUUCGCGAAGUAACUCACCAAAACAAAUAUCAAGAGAGGGAACAAGAGAUCUAUUUAGUAAAGAGGAGCGGACAGAUUCAUAUUCCGGACGUAGUUUCAUAAAAAACUGAUCACGCCUGGUAGUCGCGUGAAUAGUCUGAAUAGUUGAGAGAGCGGCAAUAGGAACAUUCGCUAUAACCAAAUCAACAUAUUCAUGCCAAAGAGUCAGAAAUGCCGAGUAGUAGUCCUGGAUGGAAAGACUACCAUGUUGAAACAUGACAAUCACAUGUUCUAACUGAAAGCGACGAGCAUCGUUAUCUUGAUGAUAAACUUUCUUCAAAUAAGCCCACAUAGAUUGAGCGGAGCAAUGGGGCUGCAAGUGGGUGACAAUAUGAGGCUCCACUGAACCAAGAAGCCAAGACAUGAUGCGUGCAUCAAGCACAACCCAUGAAGGAGAAGACCCAACAUCCUGAGAUUUGUCAAAAGUGGAUGGUUUUUCAACAUCCGUGCCAUCAAUAUGACCCUAAAGGUCUUUUCCUUUGAGAAAAAGUUCAAACUGAAAUGCCCAGGUAGAAUAAUUUGUGCCUGUAAACUUAACACACAGAGGUGCGGAAUCCAUAGAAAAUAAAUAGAACCUGAGACAAAAUGAUGGACCAAAAAAAAAAAAAAUUCCCAGAAGAAAACUGACCCACGACAGCCACAGAAAUACCGAGAAAAAUGGUUGUGGUUGGGUGUAGAACGGAUCAACACAGACUUGACCGAAAGACACGAGAGGCACCUUCGAAACCGAGAAGACAGAAAAGAAUUUGAGGGAAGAAAAAUUUAGCAACCUUGCUCUGAUACCAUGUCAAAAUAUUGUAUAAAUGGCCGAAUACCUUGGCCUUGAGUUUUGUAUAUUAUAUAUAGACUUUACAAGGAUGCUAUACAUGGAAAGCAAAUAAAAGCAAAUAAAUUCCCGCAUGAUUCUAGCCCUAUAUAUGUAAACUAUAAUCUGUCAAAUAAUAUAUGCUAACUGUACAGAAUAAUAAAUGGAGAAAUAAGGAAACAAUUGUGGGCUAAAAUAAGGAAAGAAGAAGUGUGGACAGCAAGUUGUCCUUUGA
RNAcentral lists this long non-coding RNA (4969 nucleotides) under Vitis vinifera (wine grape). RNAcentral describes it as "long non-coding RNA (VVIN_LNC004543)". The record is from RNAcentral. Lineage: Eukaryota; Viridiplantae; Streptophyta; Magnoliopsida; Vitales; Vitaceae.